RNAcentral lists this ribosomal RNA (640 nucleotides) under uncultured Chlorobiota bacterium. RNAcentral's name for it is "bacterial SSU rRNA". It matches the Rfam family "Bacterial small subunit ribosomal RNA", at positions 97 to 732 of the family's 1533-position model. Lineage: Bacteria; Pseudomonadati; Chlorobiota. The record is from RNAcentral.
GGCGCACGGGUGAGUAAUAUAUAAGCAAUCUACCCUUAGGUAAGGAAUAACGUCGAGAAAUCGGCGCUAAUACCAUAUAAUGCAGCGGCAUCGCAUGAUGAUGUUGUUAAAGUUUUUUUAACGCCUAUGGAUGAGCUUGUAUCUGAUUAGCUAGUUGGUGAGGUAACGGCCCACCAAGGCUACGAUCAGUAGCUGGCCUGAGAGGAUGAUCAGCCACAUUGGAACUGAGACACGGUCCAGACUCCUACGGGAGGCAGCAGUGAGGAAUAUUGGGCAAUGGGCGAAAGCCUGACCCAGCAACGCCGCGUGAAGGAUGAAUGUCGUAAGAUUGUAAACUUCUUUUGGAGGGGAUGAAAAAACAGGUUUGAAGCCUGAAUUGACGGUACCCUCAGAAUAAGCCCCGGCUAACUACGUGCCAGCAGCCGCGGUAAUACGUAGGGGGCAAGCGUUGUCCGGAUUUACUGGGUGUAAAGGGCGCGCAGGCGGGUUUGUCAGUCAGGGGUGAAAUCCUACAGCUUAACUGUAGAACUGCCUUUGAUACUGCAAACCUUGAGUACGGAAGAGAGAGGCGGAAUUCCAGGUGUAGUGGUGAAAUACGUAGAUAUCUGGAAGAACACCAGAGGCGAAGGCGGUCUCUUGG